Molecule: ribosomal RNA, 496 nt
Filed under: uncultured bacterium
Lineage: Bacteria
Description: partial 16S ribosomal RNA
Rfam family: Bacterial small subunit ribosomal RNA
Source: RNAcentral
GAUGAACGCUGGCGGCGUGCCUAAUACAUGCAAGUCGAGCGAACAGACGAGGAGCUUGCUCCUCUGACGUUAGCGGCGGACGGGUGAGUAACACGUGGAUAACCUACCUAUAAGACUGGGAUAACUUCGGGAAACCGGAGCUAAUACCGGAUAAUAUAUUGAACCGCAUGGUUCAAUAGUGAAAGACGGUUUUGCUGUCACUUAUAGAUGGAUCCGCGCCGCAUUAGCUAGUUGGUAAGGUAACGGCUUACCAAGGCAACGAUGCGUAGCCGACCUGAGAGGGUGAUCGGCCACACUGGAACUGAGACACGGUCCAGACUCCUACGGGAGGCAGCAGUAGGGAAUCUUCCGCAAUGGGCGAAAGCCUGACGGAGCAACGCCGCGUGAGUGAUGAAGGUCUUCGGAUCGUAAAACGCUGUUAUGAGGGAAGAACAAAUGUGUAAGUAACUAUGCACGUCUUGACGGUACCUAAGCAGAAAGCCACGGCUAACUACGU